AGUAAUAUAUAGAUAACGUGCCUCUUAGCCUGGGAUAGCCAUUGGAAACGAUGAUUAAUACUAGAUACUCCUUCUCAUUAUAAUGUGAGUUGGGAAAGUUUUUCGCUAAGAGAUCGGUCUAUAUCCCAUCAGCUUGUUGGUAGUGUAAGAGACUACCAAGGCAAUGACGGGUAGCGGGUUUGAGAGGAUGAUCCGCCACACUGGUACUGAGACACGGACCAG
Molecule: ribosomal RNA, 222 nt
Filed under: uncultured bacterium
Lineage: Bacteria
Description: partial 16S ribosomal RNA
Rfam family: Bacterial small subunit ribosomal RNA
Source: RNAcentral